GACCAUCACUCUACCGCCUUGGGCACAUCUUGUCUGAUGUCAGAAGCCAAGCGAGGCCAGGCCUGGUUAGGCCGUGGAUGGGGGACCACCAGCGACUUUGGAGGAGGGUUC
RNAcentral lists this ribosomal RNA (111 nucleotides) under Pogona vitticeps (central bearded dragon). The record is from RNAcentral. Lineage: Eukaryota; Metazoa; Chordata; Lepidosauria; Squamata; Agamidae.